GACAUCUUGCUGUGCCCUUGGGUGUUUUUGAGGACGAGCGGCUCUGCACUAAUUCUUUACAUGGCCAGGUAACUUCUCAAGUGGCUACGCUUUGGCUGAGACCCUCUUUCUUGAAUGUUAGUUGGGGCACCUGGUUUGAGAUAAAAACAUUCCUGACAGCCAUUCUAUUCUCACUUGGUGGGUCCUACAUUUAGAUUACCUACUUUGGGGCGUCCAUUGUCUCAGUGCUGAGGAGAGCCUUGAUCACUAAUUUCAUUAUGUCUUGUUCGGUAUUUUUCAGGUCCCCCCCUUUUUUUCAAUGUUCACCAACUUGCUUUGGUUUCUAUGACUUCUUUUAUACUGGUUGCUUAGCGUUGGAAACUUCUAUUUUGUUUCUCUGGUUGAUUUGGUCUUCAUGGAAUAGAUGUACUUUUGAUGGAUGCCCCUCCUCCAUCAUGGUACUCUUUCAGUUCUUAGGGCUUCUUUUGUGGAGAUUUCUCGUGCAUCUAGAAUGAUGGGUUACAUGGUGAAUACGGUGCAAGAUCUUCAAAUUCUGCCUACUUUUGCUGUUGCUGGGAGAGCUACACCUCCUCCCACCGGAAAGGAUGCAAUAUGGUCAGUAUAGAUGGGUCUACCUCAGGAACUCCAGGUUCUAUGUUUAAUCGCAGUAAUUAUUACAGUUAUUGAGAUAGCUUAUGGGCAUUUUCUUUGGCUGGGAUCUGACUCCAUGUAUGUGUUGUCCUUGUUAUCUCUGGUUUCAUAAAGUCCAUUGGCGUUUAAAAUCUCACUGGAUUAGGAUUUUGGAGAGGCUUCAGCUUAAAUAUUUUCGGGUUCUGAAUAUUUUUCAGGAAGGUAAACAAGUUGCGGAUAAGCUAGCUAAUCUGUCGUCCAAAAUCGGCUGGUGACCUUCAGUACACCCUUGGAUAUUUUGAUUUUAGUUGACAGGGACAUGCACUCUAAUGGAUUUAUUCGUGUUUGUUCUGGAAUUUAG
Molecule: long non-coding RNA, 970 nt
Filed under: Salvia miltiorrhiza (redroot sage)
Lineage: Eukaryota; Viridiplantae; Streptophyta; Magnoliopsida; Lamiales; Lamiaceae
Description: long non-coding RNA (SMIL_LNC000615)
Source: RNAcentral